UAUGGCUCAGAUUGACGCUGGCGGCAGGCCUAACACAUGCAAGUCGAACGGUAACAGGAAGCAGCUUGCUGCUUUGCUGACGAGUGGCGGACGGGUGAGUAAUGUCUGGGAAACUGCCUGAUGGAGGGGGAUAACUACUGGAAACGGUAGCUAAUACCGCAUAACGUCGCAAGACCAAAGAGGGGGACCUUAGGGCCUCUUGCCAUCGGAUGUGCCCAGAUGGGAUUAGCUAGUAGGUGGGGUAACGGCUCACCUAGGCGACGAUCCCUAGCUGGUCUGAGAGGAUGACCAGCCACACUGGAACUGAGACACGGUCCAGACUCCUGCGGGAGGCAGCAGUGGGGAAUAUUGCACAAUGGGCGCAAGCCUGAUGCAGCCAUGCCGCGUGUAUGAAGAAGGCCUUCGGGUUGUAAAGUACUUUCAGCGGGGAGGAAGGGAGUAAAGUUAAUACCUUUGCUCAUUGACGUUACCCGCAGAAGAAGCACCGGCUAACUCCGUGCCAGCAGCCGCGGUAAUACGGAGGGUGCAAGCGUUAAUCGGAAUUACUGGGCGUAAAGCGCACGCAGGCGGUUUGUUAAGUCAGAUGUGAAAUCCCCGGGCUCAACCUGGGAACUGCAUCUGAUACUGGCAAGCUUGAGUCUCGUAGAGGGGGGUAGAAUUCCAGGUGUAGCGGUGAAAUGCGUAGAGAUCUGGAGGAAUACCGGUGGCGAAGGCGGCCCCCUGGACGAAGACUGACGCUCAGGUGCGAAAGCGUGGGGAGCAAACAGGAUUAGAUACCCUGGUAGUCCACGCUGUAAACGAUGUCGACUUGGAGGUUGUGCCCUUGAGGCGUGGCUUCCGGAGCUAACGCGUUAAGUCGACCGCCUGGGGAGUACGGCCGCAAGGUUAAAACUCAAAUGAAUUGACGGGGGCCCGCACAAGCGGUGGAGCAUGUGGUUUAAUUCGAUGCAACGCGAAGAACCUUACCUGGUCUUGACAUCCACGGAAGUUUUCAGAGAUGAGAAUGUGCCUUCGGGAACCGUGAGACAGGUGCUGCAUGGCUGUCGUCAGCUCGUGUUGUGAAAUGUUGGGUUAAGUCCCGCAACGAGCGCAACCCUUAUCCUUUGUUGCCAGCGGUCCGGCCGGGAACUCAAAGGAGACUGCCAGUGAUAAACUGGAGGAAGGUGGGGAUGACGUCAAGUCAUCAUGGCCCUUACGACCAGGGCUACACACGUGCUACAAUGGCGCAUACAAAGAGAAGCGACCUCGCGAGAGCAAGCGGACCUCAUAAAGUGCGUCGUAGUCCGGAUUGGAGUCUGCAACUCGACUCCAUGAAGUCGGAAUCGCUAGUAAUCGUGGAUCAGAAUGCCACGGUGAAUACGUUCCCGGGCCUUGUACACACCGCCCGUCACACCAUGGGAGUGGGUUGCAAAAGAAGUAGGUAGCUUAACCUUCGGGAGGGCGCUUACCACUUUGUGAUUCAUGACUGGGGUGAAGUCGUAACAAGG
RNAcentral lists this ribosomal RNA (1487 nucleotides) under uncultured bacterium. RNAcentral's name for it is "bacterial SSU rRNA". It matches the Rfam family "Bacterial small subunit ribosomal RNA". The record is from RNAcentral.